CGCGCCACGGGAUGCACAUGGGUGGCUGCACGCCGCCGCCGCUCUAACAGGAAAUGCACGCCCGACCUGGGGUUUGCCUUAGCAGAUCGAGAGGGAGUCAGCGUGAAACGUGCGGUGGUGCUGGUGCGAGUUCCCAUAGAGCUGCCUGACUUGGAGGUUACCUGGGAGAAUGCACUCUGCCCCGAGCAGUCCCAUCAGGUAUGUACCACUGUGCACCCAUUUUAUAGAAGAGGAAACUGAGGCAUAUUGCUGCUCGGAAAUGAAAGGACCUGGAUCUGAACCCACAGGCAGCUGGAGCCUGCAGCCUGGAGCUGGGGCUGUUAAUCACACCACUCCAAUGCCUCGUGCCAGAGACAAAAGAGGAUGCCAAAUGAGACUGAUGUAAGAAUCCAAGUGAAAAACUCAGACUUAAUGUAAAAUUAAAUUAA
Molecule: long non-coding RNA, 428 nt
Organism: Callorhinus ursinus (northern fur seal)
Lineage: Eukaryota; Metazoa; Chordata; Mammalia; Carnivora; Otariidae
Source: RefSeq, a predicted model, not a curated record